GCCGGCUACGGCGGCUGAGGAGGCUCAGGCGGCGCAGAGCUCGCGAACGCGGCGGCUCCGGGGCCUCCGGCGGGGCCCUGCUGAGGAGUCUGAGCAGGGUCUGGCAAUCGGAGCAUGGCAACAGUGUCAAGAGAUUUACACCCAACUUCAAGGUCACGCUCAUCUCAAGUAACUGAAGGGGUGACUCCAUCACGCUGUUCCUCGCUUUUCUCCUUGACUGAAUGUGGCAAAUAGAUGGUCCAUGCACCACGCUCUCAAGACCAGCACAUUUGGACUCCUCAUCAAGAGAAAUAACGAGCUCCAGAGCCAAGGGACCUCUGCUGUGAACGCCCUACCCACAGAUGUUUAGCAAUCAUAAAUAAGGGCUAAUCUCAGCUCUGGUGACAGCACAUGUGGAGAUAGAGUUCUCUGCUAUUUUAUUGAAAAUGUAUCCGUCCAAAGUCCUACAGGCAUGCUGAAAAUGCUAAUUAAAAUUUGUACGCACACUCCUUGGAACAAUGUCUAGGACUAAAACCCCUCCCAAAAUCUUUCUCUACCCAGAAAUCAGAGAUCACCCAAGCAGGCUUUUCUCUCCUGGUAGCCUUGAGGUUGGGUUAGCCAGGCUACCCUCAUAGCAUACCCCACAGAGAGGGAGCCUGGAGGUCAAAAAUCUCUUUCUGUGGGGGAGGUUGUUCCCAUUGUGCUGCAAUAUGAGGCACGUUCCCCCAGAACAGCUCUCCCAACUGCCACCAAACCAUUUUCCUGUGUUUCAGUCUCAGUAGCUGCAGCUGCCACUAUUUACCUCAUUUCUUGCCCUGUUCAGAAGAGCACCAACCAUACGCAUUCUGUUUCCACUGGCUAUGGAUUUGUGCUUACCUGGCAAAGUUAUCCCCCUUGAAAGCAAGAGGAAUCAGUUGGAAAUUAAAAAACAACAACAAACCCAAAACAAGCAACAACAACAAAGUCAAGACCAAUGUAGAUACCUGCAGCUAUUUAGCAUAAAAAGCUUGAGUUUGCCAAGAAUUUUUAGAGUCCAUCCUUAGUAUCUCUUUUUUGUAAAAUGGGAUUUCAACCUAGAGAACUAUUUGCUGUAUUUGAAAAUUUCACCUCCAUAAUAGUGUCCUAAUGCAAAUUUCUUAAAAAACAUUACAUUGCUUCUUCAGAAAGCUUUGCUAUAACCAUUUCAAAGUCUCCCAAGUCAUACAAAGCCUGUGAGUUUCUCCUGGGAGACACUUGCUCAGAGGAACAGUGUUAAGAAAAACACUGAAUUCACCACGUGCCUUCUGCUCUUUGAAACACCCAAAUAGCUUGGAUGUGCACAUGUAAGCUUCUGUGGAAAGCAUUGAGUAAAUAUAUCUACUUGAUUUCUAUAGUUUUAAUAUGCUUUAGAUCAUUAGUCAAGCUUACAGGAGACCAGCAGUAGUUUUUGAGCCUUUUCUAGCAGCCUCUGCCACAUUGAAAUGAAGAUGUUUAAUAUCUGUAAUGACAUUACUCCAUCUUCUUAUACUGUAUAAGUCUUACUUAUAUUUAUCCCAUGGUAGUUACUAAAAAGUAGGCAUUUCUUUCAGCAGCAGCUUAAGCAGCUCCCUUUUGGCCUGUCUAUGCCCCAUCCUCUUCCACUUACUGGCUGUGCUGGUGCAACUUGUGGGAUAGCAGCAGCAAACUCAACUACAUUAAAGUUUUCCAAGUGUGGGGGGAAUUAGUUAUGAUCCACUCAGCCUUAAGCCACUUACUUAUUUUGGCCAGGAUGCAUCUGUAGUUGAUCACCCAAUUCUAUCCAUAGCCCACUCUCCAUUCUGCAGCUAAAUAAAUGUCUCAUUUAAAGUGCUGCCUCCCUGGUAGAGAGAAAAACAAAAAAAACUUGUAAAAAAGUGAUGUGUACCUAUUUUAAGUGAACAGUAAGCAUAUUAUCAACUUCUGUAACAAGAGACAACUACCAUUUUGCAUACACUCUUCCACUGGAUAGCUUCUUAUGGCUCUGCUUUCUCCUGGGCUUAAGUUUAUAUGCUACUUUAUACUGUAAGAUUAAAUUGAGCUCCUUAAAUAGUUUUUGCAUGAAGUUAUACAUACUUAUUUUAUUUUUUAAAAUUUUUGGGGGGAAGUGGAACCCAUUGCACAAACUUGGCUACGUGAAAGCAACUCAUGGGGAACGACAAAGAGAGCACUUACCUUAAAAUAAUAAAAAAAAAUUCCGACAGUGAUUUAUUUUCCCCUUUUUUUGCCAUCAUUACAGAUAAGGACAAUGGUGGUAAGAGAUUGUGCCUGUUACUGUUCCAGUAAAGUUUCUCAGUAGCGUUCCAGCCAUACCACUAUGCCCAGGUAUGAUACCUCAAUCUGCUGAUUUCAUUACAAGCCAUGAAGAACAAUUAUGGAAUGUGACUAGGACCAGCAUUAAGUAGCCCUGGGAGCCUGCUCAUAUGCCACACCUGAGCAAGUAACUUUUUUUGAAAAGUUGGUAAACUUGUUUUAGCAGGAUGCAUAGCUCUUAUCCUAACUUUCUAAAGAAGUCUUAGGAGUAUACAUUGAAAUAGCAUGAUUUUAAAACUUUUUUUCUCUUUUACUUAGUCUUCUCCCUAUUUUUGUUAUGUUUAGCUGUACUUUAAUUCCCUGCCAUAUCUCGUGAUAGCUUUCAGAUGCUGCUAGAUUUCCUUAGCUUGUAUUAGCUGUAAUGAUUACUUGAGUAAAUCUCACUGUUUUCUUCAGAAAACUCGUUUGGAUGAACUUAAUAAUCAAACCUUUUGUGGCAGGUGGAUGUAAUCUUUUAUUUGAAUGAGAGAUUUCAGAGUAAAAGUAAGAAGGUGGGCUGAUGGCAUUAAACAAGCUACCCAGCCACAGCUAUCUGUGCACAGCCACAGCACUCCUGACUUGUAUUAUCUUGGUGGGGCACCUGUGUCUCAUCCUAUUUUAGGGCAGCACCAGUCCUUCUUUCCUGAGUACUUGUGGGCUACGCAUUGCCCUACUCCCUGGGCAGGAAGGAGGUGUGAUGCAGUAGUACUGCGUGUGCCUUGUUUACGGGAAUGAAGGAUAGACUCAAGGAGAGGAUGUAGGUAACUAAACUUAAAGCCUGUGAUCAUCCCAAGCAUUGCUGGCCUUCUGAGUAGGUUGGAGAUGCCUACAACCAAGUAUUUCUCUUAGGCAAGUGCUUGAACCCAUAUGAAGCAGUUACAGAUGCAAAUCCCCUUUUCCCAAACCAGUGCUGUGAUUUCUGAAGUGAGUUGGGGGGGGGUAGCACCCUAUAAAGUGCAAGUAUGGCAGAGGAUUGAACAGUUGUCAGAGGAAAUUUUUUUUUUUUCUUUAGGAAAGCUAUUUGGAUAUGACAGUAAUCAAACUGUGUGUGUAUGUAUAUAUAUAACUUAUGUGUUUACAUACAGUCUAUCAUACCCACUGUGUAAUAGACACAUACAGUCUAUCAUACUUUUUUCUUUUGAGUAAUAAGCUUCCAAGAUAUUUGAGUUAUGAUUUUUAUUGCUGUGAAAUCUAAAAUUAGUGAAAGACUUCAGGAAAACAGUUGCUAUUUUUUUCCUGGUUGUGUUAGAAAACAACAGAGACAA
Molecule: long non-coding RNA, 3530 nt
Organism: Aquila chrysaetos chrysaetos
Lineage: Eukaryota; Metazoa; Chordata; Aves; Accipitriformes; Accipitridae
Exons: 3
Source: RefSeq, a predicted model, not a curated record